RNAcentral lists this ribosomal RNA (478 nucleotides) under uncultured Planctomycetales bacterium. Its description in RNAcentral is "bacterial SSU rRNA". It matches the Rfam family "Bacterial small subunit ribosomal RNA", at positions 364 to 832 of the family's 1533-position model. The record is from RNAcentral. Lineage: Bacteria; Pseudomonadati; Planctomycetota; Planctomycetia; Planctomycetales.
UUUCGCAAUGCCCGAAAGGGUGACGAAGCGACGCCGCGUGUGGGAAGAAGGCCUUCGGGUUGUAAACCACUGUCGGGAGUUAGGAAAUGCAGGUGCGUUAAUAGCGCACUUGCUUGACUAAGGCUCCAGAGGAAGCCACGGCUAACUCUGUGCCAGCAGCCGCGGUAAUACAGAGGCGGCAAGCGUUGUUCGGAAUUAUUGGGCGUAAAGAGCACGUAGGCGGCCUUGCAAGUCAGUUGUGAAAGCCUUCCGCUUAACGGAAGAACGGCAUCUGAUACUACAGGGCUUGAGUACGGGAGGGGAGAGUGGAACUUCUGGUGGAGCGGUGAAAUGCGUAGAUAUCAGAAGGAACGCCGGCGGCGAAAGCGACUCUCUGGUCCGAAACUGACGCUGAGUGUGCGAAAGCUAGGGGAGCAAACGGGACUAGAUACCCCGGUAGUCCUAGCCGUAAACGAUGGGCACUAAGUAGAGGGGUUUU